RNAcentral lists this ribosomal RNA (468 nucleotides) under uncultured bacterium. RNAcentral describes it as "partial 16S ribosomal RNA". It matches the Rfam family "Bacterial small subunit ribosomal RNA", at positions 28 to 507 of the family's 1533-position model. The record is from RNAcentral.
GGCGAACGCUGGCGGCGGGCCUAACACAUGCCAGUCGAACGGAAAGGCCCUGCUUUUUUGGGGUUCUCGAGUGGGGAACGGGUGAGUAACACGUGUGUAACCUGCUCUUGUUUUUCGGAUAAAUUCAGGAAAAUGGGGCUAAUAUCGGAUAGGAUCCCCUGUUGGAUUGGGGGGGGGGGAUAUUUUCGGCGGGUGGGGAUGGACGCGCGGCUGUUGGGCUUGUUGGUGGGGUAGUGGGUUUCCCAGGCUUUGGCGGGUAGGCGGCCUGGGAGGGUGACCGGCCACAUUGGGACUGAGAUACGGCCCAGACUCCUACGGGAGGCAGCAGUGGGGAAUAUUGCACAAUGGGCGGAAGCCUGAUGCAGCAACGCCGCGUGCGGGAUGACGGCCUUCGGGUUGUAAACCGCUUUCGCCUGUGACGAAGCGUGAGUGACGGUAAUGGGUAAAGAAGCACCGGCUAACUACGUG